UUUUUUUUUUCUGAUUGCCCUCAUCAUUCCCUCUCACGCCCUUUUCCUUCCUUCCCGCCCUUUCCCUUCCCGACAUCCCUCCCUCGCCCUUUUCCUUCCCGCCAGCACCUCUCCUGUGCUUUUUCUUCCCGACAUCUCACUCCUCCUCCUUUGUUCCUUUCCACUCGUUCUGUUGCCUCGCUCAUUCUAUUAAACUCCUCCCCUACUUGUUGAUUAUGAAUGUCCCAAACUUGUCCUCCAUCGUCCUCUGAUUAGCCUUCCCUCACCUUCAUCUUCUUCAAAAUUACCAGAAUCUAUAUCACCCGCUAAUCUAUCCUCAUCCUUCUCUUCCAUCACCCUGUGCAUUUCCUUCCCUUUCACAUUCCCAUUAGACGAACCACUACCACCAAUUACUACUGAUUGACUGCUCAACCCUACUUCAUGACCAAUGAAAAUGUGUAACACAUAAUUUGACUCUACAUCGGGAUGGCUAACAUCCACUGGUUGUGACCCAGGUGGAUCAAUCUCAUUAUAAUUAGACGACUGGCUACCUUGGUCGGGUUCAUACACCCCACCGCCAUCCAACAAACUCUCCUACUUCCAUCAAGAUAUUUAUCAGACCAUAUGUAUUUCUAACAAGAUAUGCAUGAAUAAUAAGACAAGCGCGAACAUAUACAUAUACCUAUGAUACAUCAAAGUGUCAUAAAAUUGGUCAAUGGAGGGCGUAAUUUUGUUUAGUUUGCGUCUUUAUGUGGUCUAGGUGGAGCUCCCAUAUUGCCUAAGUUUUGUACAAGGAAAUAUCUCGAGAAUAAAAAUUAACAUGACUUUCCUUUUAAAAUAUUAUUUAAGCCUAAUGUACAAUAACAUCAUAGUUGAAUAUUCAAUUAUUGUAUUUGAAUAUUUAAAUGUACAAUUAUAUUUUUAAUUUGGCUAAAAAUAAUAGAAAUAUACCAUUUAAGACCAUGUUUAGGUGCAUUUAUUUAGUUAUAAAGUAGUAAAAAAUGUUCAGCUCGGUGCAGAUGUGUGGCGUCGCGAGUUCGGUUGCGGACGAUGAGCACGCGAGACGACGCCGGCGUCGGAAGGUGCGGGCGAAUAUAAAGGAUGGCGCGAUGGUCGACUAGGAUAGGGAGUCAUACUAGUCCGACGCCAAAUCGCACUCGGGGCGCAGACACCCCCGACCGAAACGGGCCAACCCACUUCGUACUGUACCGGUAUGCGGUUUCUAGUUUUUUUGUGGCCGGUUCUUUUGUGUUUUUUCCUGUCUCUUUUUUGCUGGUUUUUGUUAUUUUUUUCUUUCAAGUUUUGUCUUCAUUUUUCCUUCAUUAUUCAUUUUUAUUUUCAUGAAAAUUUCUUUUCCAAAUUCUUGAUUUAUUUUAAAUUCCCAAAUUUUGUCCAAAUUUGUGAAAAAAACAAAUAUCUUUUUCCAAAUUUGAAUGUUUUCAAAUUCAUGAAUAUUUUCCCAAAUUCACAAAAAAAAUCAAAUUCAUGAUUUUUUUCAAAUUUCAAAGUUUUUCCAAAUUCACAGUUUUCCCUAAAUUUCCUGAACUUUUCAAAUUUGUUAACUUUUUAAAAACCCAUGAAUAUUUUUUUUGAAUGCUGCAAUUUUUAAAAUCACAUGAACUUAAAAAAAAGUCAAUGGUCAAGGGUCUAAGUCAAUGGCCAAUCUACCAAAAGGUGGACCAGUCAAACCAUCAACCCGCUCAGCCACUCGCUCACCCGUGCGUGUGGUGACCACAGGUUUGUUUGGCCAGCCCACAACGCUCUCUUGCGCGAGCACCGUUUGCUUAAUUGGCGCACAAGCGCUACGAAAGAGGUCUCUAGUUCGAAUGUGUUUGUCAACUUCAUUCGCGGCAAGGCCGAAGAGCCAAUUUUCGUCCGCACCUUGGUCAAAGAGGACGUUUCCGUCCACAUAUGGGCCAAAGACAGGCUCUUUGUAGCGGCUCCGGACGAAAAUCAUCUCUUCAGUCAUUGUUAGAUUGAAGAGGGCUUCUAGGCCCAUCUCUUCGCGUAAACUGUCCAACGAAGUUGCAUGCCAUUCUUAGGGCGAACAAGAGUUGCUCUUCCUUUCUGUUGAGGAAGAAGUCUUUUUUUCGAUUGCCCUUCAUCAUUCCCUCUCACGUCCUUUUCCUUCCCACCAUCCAUCUCCCGCUCUUUCCCUCCUCGUCAUCCCUCUUCUGCCCAUUCCCUUCCAGCCGUCACCUCUCACACGCUUUUUCUUCCCGACAUCUCACUCAUCCUCCCAUGUUCCUUCCCACCCUCUUGCCUCGCUCAUUCUAUUAACCCCCCCGGCUUGCUGUCUCUGAACGUCCCAAACUUAUCAACCAUUGUCCUCAUCUUAGCCUUCACAUAAUGAAUUUCAUAGUUAUAUCUUGCUUUCACCGCAUUUUGGUGUGCUUCGCUUCCAUGUCUUUCUUCUCCACUAUCUCAUUUAUACAUGAGUUGUGUUAUGAGAGUUGAAUUUAGGUUUGGAUGAUCAACUAGAAGGUUUUUCCUCACAUAAUUAUAUAGAACAAUAUUAGUGACAACCCAGUGCAUAUUUCACUUGGGCAUGUGGUCGUGCACCUUGUCGAGAACCAUUUUAAGCACAUUUCAAAGUUAUAAGUUUGUUUGACUUGAUAUGUGUGUGUGAAAACCCUAUGCACCGACAUAGCCCACUCCACUAUGUCACUUCAUUCUUCAGUUGUUUCUUUAUGGCAUAAAUAGCGCCUAUUUGGACUUGGUUCUAAUGAUAUUCCCAUGCAGACUCAUGGACUUCCAUCGAUUCAUGGUCAGGCCGGUUGCGGUUGAGAGGCCCUGAUUCCAUGCAUAAGGAAUUGACACCUCCUCCUCGUCCUCAUCCUCACUUUUUUUUAGAACGAAGACGCUAGGAGCGUCCGGUUUUAACUGAAUAAAGCUCACAACAGACAGCGUACACACGAAUAAAGUCUUACAACGCAACAGAAACCCUCAAAAGAUCAAGCGAGGUGAGGGGAGCAAGUUUUGGAUUACAAGCCGAAGACGGCUAGCACAGAGCACGCAGGCUCGCAACGAAGGUGCCAAAAGGUGCCUCACAUCCCUACGGGGGCGGCGUAGGAGCUCUCGCCAGAGCGUAGACCUGACGAAGACGGGCAAGAGUGAGCUGCAGGAGAUCAACGUCUUGGUGUCUUCCCAAUGGCGCCCAGUCCUCAUCCUCACUCACCUUCAUCUUCUUAAAAAUUAUCAGAAUCUAGAUCAUCCGCCAAUCCAUUCUCAUCCUUCUCUUCCAUCAUCCUUUGCAUUUUCUCCCCUUCCCCGUCCCCAUUAGCCAAACCACUACCAACAAUUACCGCUGACUGACUGCUCAACCCUGUUUCACGACAAACGGCGAUGCGUGACAUAUAAUUCUACUAUUCAUCGGUUGUGACCCAGGUGGAUGAAUCUCAUUAGCCGACUGACUACCCUGGUCGGGUUCAUGCACCCGGCCGCCUUCCAAUAAAUUCUCCUCCUUCGGCACAGGGAUUUUUUUUCGAAGAAAAGGGGCUCACACCCCCGGUUCCAUUCCAUUGGAAGAAACCAGAACCAGCCAAUGUUCAAGUUACAACAAAAGAAGAGGGGGGAGAGCGUCUACUGUCUUCUCCACCAAAAUUAAAAGGAAACUAAACUCGUUUUUCAGCUUACAACCCCACUUGGAGUAGACUACCACUUCCUUACAAGGCAAUAGACCAGUCAUAGGCCCGAGAAGACCACCUGGAUGGAGUCCGCCUCUUCAGGGUGUUUCAUCUAGUAGGCCAGCGUCGUACGUCCUCCAUGCGUUGCGCUCCCAGUCGCCUCCCUCCAUGACAGAUGUCCCAGCCAGCUCUUGCAGUUGUUCAGUCCGGCUCCAGGGCAAACGGUGCUUUCAGACUCGCCCACAGCCAAUCCUGAAAGGCCCUUACUGCGCCCGAUUGCAGUUCUGGAAAUGGUUUUGUCCAAUCCCUCAGAUACCUGGACACCAUCCCCAUCACCUGCUUCAUUGACAGCCAAGAGAUCCUAUUAAAGACAAUAGCAUUUCUAAAGUUCCACAAUCCCCACAGGAUAGCAGAGGUAACUACAUUAAGAAGCAUAUGUUUUUUCUUGCACAGCCACAAUUUUGCAAGCGACUCAAAGUCCACUAUUCGUACAUUGAACAAGUUUUCAAUGUCGUUCCAGAAUUUUCUGGCAACUAUACAUUCAAAAAAGAGGUGGUAAACCGAUUCAAUCUCUUUGCAAUGCACACAUUCCAAAGGUUUAGCCAUCCCUCUUUUUCUCAAAUUAUCACAAGUCAUAAUUUUGUUCUGAGAAAAAAGCCACAAAAAACCUUGUACUUUCGGAGGGAUUCUAACACUCCAAACAGCAGGCAGGAAGAUAGGCUGCACCCCCCUGAAAUUGACAAUAGCAUACAGGGAUUUAGAGGAAUAAAUCCCCUUAGACUCAUAUUGCCAGAUCAGGGAAUCCUCCUCCCCACUGAAAGGAGUCAAUCUCACAAUAUUAACCAAGUCCAGCCAUUGGACCAUUAAUUCCUCAGAAAAGGUUCUUCUAAAAGUACACUUAAGGUCGUUACCAUCCCACAGUUCAGCCACCGUUCUGUUCUUUUCCUGGACAAGAUAAUACAAGUCCCAGAACUGCGUAGCUAAAGGGGCGUUCCCAUGCCAGAUAUCCUCCCAAAACCUCACUUUAUUCCCAUUUCCCACCUGCCAUUUAUACCCCAACUUCACAGCCUGCAAAGCCCACAUAAAGCUUUUCCAGAACUGGGAGGGAUGGGUAUCUUGACAGCAAAGGAUAUUGGGGUUCCUAGUAUUGUAUUUACUAUCCACUACCUUCCUCCAUAGCGAGCCUUCCCCAGCUAAGUACCUUUUAACCCACGACCCUAUUAGACACACAUUCAUAUCCUAGAGAUUUAGAACCCCCAAGCCCCCAUAUUCUUUUCUCAUACAUAUAGAAGGCCAGUUGGCCAAAUGAAUCUUAUGAGCUCCUUCGCUAUCACUCCAAAGGCACUUUGCCAUAUGUGAGUUAAUCAGAUUAAUGGCCCAUCCAGGGAACUUGAAAAAAGACAAUAGGUAUAGGGGAAUACUGGCCAAGCAAGAUCUGAUCAGUGUUAUCUUGCCCAGAAAUGACAAUAGUUUUCCCCUCCACCCAGCAAUCCUAGCAAGAAUUUUGUCAAUCAAAGCUUGUAAGUCUUCUCUACUCAACUUAUCAAAGUGCAAAGGAAUUCCCAAAUAUUUAAUUGGGAAGCAUCCAUUAACACACUGGAAGAUAUCCAAAAACACCCCCAAACCCCCACUUUCCAUAUUUAUGGGGAUCAGAGCACUCUUAUGAUAAUUAAUUCUCAUCCGAGAGAUUUUUUCAAAGCAAACUAAAACCCAUUUGAGAUUAAGGGCAACUCUACUAUCAUUUUCCAGGAAAAGAAGUGUAUCAUCUGCAUACUGCAGACACAUCACUCCUCCUCUAACUAAUUCCGGGCACAACCCUCUAACCAAGCCAGCCCGAGCACCUUUAUCUAUCAUUCUAGCAAAAGUGUCUACCACCAGAUUGAAAAGCAGGGGGGCAACAGGACCCCCCUGCCUCAAGCCUUUACCAGUGAUGUUGAGGAUAUAACCAUUAGAGUCACCCGCCCAGGAGGGGCCGGGUUACGUUAUAAUGAUCUUCACGUGAAGCCCAGUACCAGGCUAGAGGAUGGCGGAUCAAUAGUGGGCUUAAGACCCGGAGGCGGCUUAAGGCCCGUAGUGAUAAACCGCCGUUAUGACAAGACUUGUAAUGUAAGGCAAGAGUAGUUAAGAGUCCGAGCCGGAUACUGUUAUAAGCCGGCCGGGACUCUGAGAGCCGCGGGGGCGUCAACCUCUCUAUAUAAAGGGACGAUCCGGCGGCGGUUCAGGACGAGAGACAACAGAUCGAGAGCCGGGCAUAGCGAUUAAGCUCCCUGGUCAUCGAAACCCUAAGUAAUACCACCUCAACUGGACGUAGGCUGUUACCUUCACCGUAAGGGGCCGAACCAGUAUAACCCUCGUGUUCCUUGUCCCGUUUAACCCCUUUAAGCUUCCUAGCUGCGAUGGCUCCACGACUAAGUCCUUGCACGAGGACAUCUGCCGUGACAAUUCCACGACAGUUGGCGCCCACCGUGGGGCUGGCGCACGGUGGAUUUGAGUUCUUGAAGGGCAGCUUCGAAGGGCUCAAGGGAUACGCUGUGGGCCGGAUGACCAAGAGUCGUCACGGCAAGCUCUACAUCGACGAUGCAAACUGGGGCCCCGACGCUGGCUCAAUUGAGUACGGGUACCGGGUCCCCUUCGGCGGAAUCCAUGUCUUUCUUGGCAAGAUUGGUGAGCCGGGCCCUGAGCCGGACCUCUGCGCCGAUCUCAUCGAGACGGCUCAACGUGCACAACCCGCCCGGACUUUGCCUGCCUUGAAGCGUGCUUUCGUGGGAUGCGUCCAUGGAGAGCUCUCUGAAGGAUCUGGAUCUGGUGAUGAGACGGCCGCUCGCUCUGACGGCGAGUCAUCCACAGAGGAGACCGAUUCGUUAUACCAACUUCAAGAUGGCAGGCUCAGGGGUUGUUCCGAUGGCGACAGUAUUCCGGACCCCUUUGAGCCGCCGAGCCGGGUUGGAAUCUUCAUGGCUGGCGCACAACCUGUUCAAAACCCUACCGCCGGGGCAGGAAGCCCUGUGCCCUCGCCGGCUCAGGUGCUGAUGGACCUCACGGACAAGAUGACGGUCCUGUUAACCGCUACGGUCGCCCCGGCGGAUCAAGCUCAGCAUGACGUGGAGGUGGCACAGUUAAAGCUCGAUCUAGCAAAGGCCAAGGAGGAUCUGGCGGCGGAAGGGAUCAGGAUGGCUGCAGAGAGGGCGGCUCUCGACGCCCAGACUCAGCUGAUUCAAGCGCAGUCUUUCCGGCUCACGAUGGAUCAGAACGCGUCCAGUGAGAUCAUGAGAAGGAGGCAUCAAAAGGCUCAAUCUCGACUCCCUCCGGUUUACGAUCCUCGAAACCUCUUCAACACGCCUGGUGCAGGGCCCAGUAACCCGCCAGAGAUCACGACGCCCGGAGCUGGAACGCCAAUUCAGCCCCAAGUGAUGGGACCUCCCCGGGUGAACACUACCCCGCCUCAGUACGUGCCCAUACCACCGGGUCAUUAUGCCAACCCGUUGGAAAACAUGGUCGCCGCGGCAGCACGGCUGGCGGCUCUCCCAAUCGAUGGCGACUCUCCAACGGCGGUCGAAACCCGCUGGGUCAGAGAGCUCCUUCAGACGGCUCUGGCACAACAGGAGGCAUAUUCUUAUAGCCGGGACAUAAUUCAUUCAACCCCUCGUCCAGGCCGGAGCCCGAGCUAUAGCAGGCACAUGGUCUCAGCGACCGGCUCAAGCAAUGUCCGACGCCGUGACUUGCCUCCUGGCCACGACCCGGUUCAUAAUGAAGCUUUUAACGCGGUGGACCAAGAUAGAGCACGGCAAGAGGCGGAGCGGGCGGCUCAGUUGACGGCUUACCAGCCACUCCCGGCUUAUCCGACGGCUUCCAUCGACGUGGGUAUACCUACGAGGACCGGAGGAGUUCCUUGUCUGGCGCCGGCUCUCCGUAAUGAACGUCUGCCCAAGGAUUUCAAGGGACCUAGGAAGGUACCUAAUUACACGGCUGAUUUACAACCCGGAGCAUGGAUCGAGAGUUACGAGAUGGCUAUGGAGUUGCUGGAGGUCAGCGAAGCGGCAAUGGCCAAGUACUUCACCAUGAUGUUAGAUGGGACGGCCCGCACUUGGUUGAAAGGGCUGCCACCGAACUCUAUCAGGUCUUGGGCUGAACUAAAGGCCCGGUUCAUCCAAAACUUCAAAGAUACCUGUAGGCAGUCUAUAUCAAUUGUGGAUUUGAGUAACUGUAAGCAGCAGGAGGGUGAGUCUACAACCCAUUGGGUUCGCCGGGUCAAAGAGAUAAUACAUUCAUUUGAUAAGAUGGAUGCCGGCUCUGCAGUCUUAAUGUUAGAGCAGAAUUGUCGUUUUACGCCCCUGAAGAUGAAGCUCGGGCGGCUCAAGCGCGAUUGCAAUGAUAUGGGUACGCUGAUGGCGGCUCUGGUUAAGUACGCCGACUCUGAUAGUACCAAGGAUCCCGCGUCGGAUGAUGAAAGGACAGGGAAGGGAAAACGGAAUGGCAAUGGCAAGGGCCCCCAGCAUAACCCGGCGAACCAGGGAGGUAACAAGCGUAAGGCUGAUGGUAGUAUGGAGUUUGUGGCCAACGCCAGUUCACAGGGUAACAACCACCGGCGCAAGGGGAGACCACCUCCCCGCGCCGGCGGGUCAGGCCCGACGCUUGAGCAAUUGUUGAAUGAGCCUUGUCCAAGGCAUGGCUCUAGGGAAAAGCCGGCCACUCAUCUGUGGAAGGACUGCGCAAUCAUGAAGGCCUUUAAAAAUUCCAAUGCUUUCAAUGGCAACAGUGGCCCGAGCGGCGGCUCAGGCGCUGGCGGCUUUCAUGGCCCGGGCGGCGGUUCAAAUUCCAAUUCUCAGAAUGUUCAAGGGGGCUUUAAUCAGCAGUCCGGCCAGGGUCAUCAGCAGCAGCAGCAGGGGGGAUACCAGACCAAUCCAAAGCAGCUCAAUGGUGGACAGUAUCACGUGUUUACCACCAGUCUGUGCAAGCGAGAUCAGAAGCUUCAUAAAAGGGCUGUGAAUGCUGUUGAGCCGGCGGUUCCACGCUAUUUAAGAUGGUCUGAGCAGCCUAUUGUGUGGAGUAGGGAAGAUCACCCUCCCCGGGUUGAUAAUCCGGGUCACCUGGCCUUGGUGGUGGCUCCUCAGGUGGGGGGAUAUAAAUUCACUAAAGUGCUCAUGGACGGAGGCAGCAGCAUCAACAUCCUCUAUUAUGAGACCUUCCGUCGUAUGGGGUUGAUUGAUAAGAACCUCAGCCAGUCCAAUACUGUUUUCCAUGGUGUGAUGCCUGGUAAGUCGGCAUAUCCAGUUGGUAAGAUCGAGCUGGAAGUGGCUUUUGGAGACGAGUACAACUACAGGGCGGAAAAAUUAACCUUUGAGGUGGUUAAGAUAAGAAGUCCGUAUCAUGCUUUAUUUGGGCGGCCGGCUUACGCCAAGUUCAUGCCACGGCCAUGUUCCUCGUAUUUGCAGCUCAAGAUGCCGGGUCACAAUGGGACCAUUACGGUUCAUGGCAGCCGAAAGAUAGCCUUGGAGUGUGAGGAAGGUGACGCGGCUUACGCUGAAUCUGUUUGUGCGACAGAGGAGUUGAAGUUUUACAAGGACAAUUUUGACCCGGCAGAUAUGACGUCUUUGAAAAAGCCGACCACGGAGCAUGAGCCGGCAAUGAAAUUUAAGUCAGCUGAUGAGACUAAACUUGUUGACUUUGUUCCAGGUGACUCAUCUCAGCAGUUCAACAUCAGUGCCAAUCUGGAUCCGAAAUAGGAAGGCGCGCUCAUCGAGUUCAUCCGUGGGAACAGGGACAUUUUUGCAUGGAAACCUUCUGACAUGCCAGGUGUACCUAGAGAACUCGCUGAGCACACUCUCAAUAUGGAUCCGAAAUUUAAGCCGGUCAGGCAAUUCCUUUGGCGGUUUAAUGAGGAGAGGCGGAAAGCCAUUGGUGAGGAGGUGGCCCGGCUCUUGGCGGUUGGGUUUAUUGUUGAAGUUUUUCAUCCAGAAUGGUUAGCUAACCCGGUGCUCGUGCUCAAGAAGAACGGCACCUGGCGGAUGUGUGUGGACUACAUGGAUCUAAACAAAGCUUGUCCGGCUGAUCCUUUUGCUCUCCCCCGUAUUGAUCAAAUUAUUGAUGCUACGGCGGGUUGUGAGCGCUUAAGUUUUUUGGAUGCUUAUUCUGGGUACCAUCAGAUUAAAAUGGCAGUUAAGGACCAGGAGAAGACGGCGUUCAUCACUCCCUUUGGAGCCUUUUGUUAUGUGUCUAUGCCUUUUGGGCUCAAGAGUGCACAGGCGACUUACCAGCGUUGUGUGCAGAAUUGUCUUCACAACCAGAUUGGGCGCAAUGUUCAUGCCUAUGUGGAUGAUAUCGUGGUAAAAUCCAGGGAGAAGGAGACCCUGGUAGAUGAUCUUAGAGAAACCUUUGAUAAUCUCCGGGUUUACAAGAUGAUGCUUAACUCGGCCAAGUGUGUUUUUGGUGUUCCCGCAUGCAAACUCUUGGGUUUUCUGGUUUCUCACAGAGGCAUUGAAGCUAACCCGGAAAAGAUCAAGGCAAUCACCUCUCUGGCUAAGCCGGCGUGCAUAAACGACAUCCAGCAUCUGGCGGGCCGCAUCGCUGCUUUGAGCCGGUUUAUAAGCCGUUUGGGUGAAAAGGCCAUGCCACUGUACCAGUUGAUGAAGAAAACAGAUGACUUUAUCUGAAAUGAUGCUGCUAAUGUUGCUUUUGAGGAUUUGAAGAGACGGCUGGCUGAGCUCCCAGUACUUGCUGCUCCUGUUGACAAGGAGCCCUUAUUGCUGUAUGUAGCCGCUAACACACGGGCCGUUAGUGUGGCUGUGGUGGUGGAGCGUAAGGAAGAGGGUAAGGAGUAUCCGGUUCAGCGACCGGUUUACUACGUCAGCGAAGUACUCAUUGAGUCCAAACAACGGUAUCCACACUGGCAGAAGCUUGUUUAUGGGGUAUUCAUGGCAAGCCGGAAGCUUAAGCAUUAUUUCCAGGGUCACCCUAUCACUGUGGUUAGUUCUGCUCCCCUAGGAGAUAUCAUCCAAAACAGAGAAGCCACGGGAAGAGUGGCUAAGUGGGCUAUAGAACUUCGGCCUCAUGGUCUGAAAUACAUGCCACGCACUGCUAUCAAAUCUCAAGCAUUGGUGGACUUCAUCAACGAUUGGACAGAGCUGCAGGUGCCUGAAGAGAAACCGGAUAAUACAUACUGGACUAUUCACUUCGACGGGUCUAGGCAAUUGGAGGGCUCGGGGGCUGGAGUUGUAUUAACUUCCCCUCGAGGUGACAAGUUUUGCUAUGUGCUACGGUUGAUGUUUCCCUGUACUAACAAUGCGGCUGAGUACGAGGCCUUGCUCCAUGGUCUUCGGAUGGCUAAGGAGAUGAGCUUGAGCCGGGUAAGGUGCUUUGGCGACUCAGAUUUAGUGGCUCAACAAGUGUCAGGCAAGUGGGAUUCCAAGGACCCUCUCAUGGCGGCUUAUCGCCGCGAAGUUGAUGCCAUUGCUGGACACUUUCAGGGUUACCAAGUAGAGCACAUCGAUCGCAGGAAGAAUGAGGCGGCUGAUGCAUUAAGCCGGCUGGGCUCUCAGCGAAAGCCGGUGCCGCCUAAUACUUUCUUGGACAUUUUGCAUAACCCUUCUGUUAAGUUGCCUACAGAGGAAGACUUGGCUGUCCCUGACCCGGAGGCACAGCUGGUGGCGGCUCUCCACAUUACCCCAGACUGGACAGUACCAUACUUGGCUUACAUGACCCGGGGAGAAUUGCCUGAGGAUGAAACUUUGGCCAGACAAAUAACCCGGCGGUCUAAGUCAAUGAUAAUUAUCAAUGGUGAGCUGCAUCGUUGCAGUGUCACUGGAACUUUCCAGCGUUGUGUUUCCCCUGAGGAAGGUCAAGAAAUCUUACGUGAAAUUCACGAGGGGGAUUGUGGCCAUCAUGCCGGCUCAAAGUCCCUUGUGGCCAAGGCCUUUCGUCAUGGUUUUUAUUGGCUGACGGCUUAUGCUGAUGCCGAGGAUUUGGUCAGUAAAUGUGACGGUUGCCAGAGGUUCUCGCGACGGGCUCAUGUGCCGGCUCAGGAAUUGAGGAUGAUUCCAAUCACUUGGCCGUUUGCGGUCUGGGGGCUUGAUAUGGUUGGGCCUUUUAAAAGAUCCAAGGAUAAGAAGACCCACCUCUUGGUGGCAGUCGACAAGUUCACAAAGUGGGUUGAAGCAGAGCCAGUUAGCAAGUGUGAUGCAGCCACAGCGGUUCAGUUCAUGAAGAGGGUGAUAUUUCGCUUUGGUUUUCCACAUAGCAUUAUAACUGACAACGGUACCAAUCUGUCUAAAGGCGCCAUGGAGGAGUUUUGUCAACGAGAGCAUAUUCGGCUUGAUGUUUCAUCAGUGGCUCACCCUCAAUCCAAUGGUCAAGCUGAGAGAGCCAAUCAGGAAAUCUUGAAAGGCAUCAAGCCUUGGCUUUUGGUCCCUUUGCAACGGACGCCGGGUUGUUGGGUGGAGGAGUUACCCUCCGUGUUAUGGAGCAUCAAUACUACUCCUAACAGGUCUACGGGUUACACGCCUUUCUUCAUGGUUUAUGGAGCGGAGGCGGUCCUCCCUAGCGACAUCCGUCAUGACUCGCCUCGAGUGGCGGCUUAUGUUGAGGCGGAUAAUGAGCGGGCGCGCCAAGAUGCUCUUGACUUGUUGGAUGAACAGCGUGAUGUGGCAGCGGCUCGCUCGGCGAUUUACCAACAAGACCUGCGCCGCUAUCACAGCCGCCAGGUUAAGUCCAGAGUCUUCCAGGAAGGUGAUCUGGUGCUCCGGCUCAUCCAAGAUCAAACAGAUGCACACAAGUUAUCCCCGCCUUGGGAAGGGCCCUUUGUGGUUAGCAAGAACUUGCACAACGGGUCAUACUACCUUAUCGAUGUUCGGGAGCACAAAAAUUCACGUAAGUCGGAGGAAGAGACCCGUCGGCCGUGGAACAUAGCUCAGCUUCGGCCUUAUUACACUUGAGCCACCGGCUCUCAUAAUGUACAUAUUUCUACAACCAUGUAUAUAUUAUGAUAAAUAAUAAAGCAUGACCUCUGUCCUUUUCUCCUCCAAAGGCAAAUGUGUUAUUGUUAUUACAACAUUACAUGGUCACUUGGAGGUUGAUCCGGCUUACGAUCGUAUUCGAAUCUCGCCGUUAACAAUGAUCACUUGGGGGCUUCCUGUUCAAACAUAGGUCGUAUUCGAACCAAAGAGAACAUAGUUGUCGAUACCCACUUGAUUGGCAAAUUGCCGAGCUCAUGGGGGAGUUUUUCUUGAUCAUAUUUGAAUCAUAGCUCAACCCCCUUUGGGAACCGACGUGGAUCGUAUUCGAAUCAGCGUCGUUAAACAACUCUCAAGGUCAUUUGGGGGCUUCCUGUUCAAACAUAGGUCGUAUUCGAACCAAAGAGAACAUAGCUGUCGGUACCCUCUUGAUCGGCAACGCCAAAGCCACUGGGGGCUAUAUGAUCGCAUUCGAAUCUUAGCUUAACCCCUUUGGGAUGGUUCUCUGGUCGUAUUCGAAUCAGAAGCCCCUAAGUUUUGAUCUUUUGGUUUGCAACAAGUUGUUUUGAUCAUAUCAACAGUGUGCAAGGGCGGUUCUUACUCCGCCGGUUUAACUUUGAUUAACAAUGUUGAUAGCACACAAUAAGCAUUAUCGAUGCUGGUGAACCGGAGUUGAGUUCUCAACCUCAUUAUUUGGGUUACAUAAACCGGAAGUAUACUUGAAGGCCUGUAAGUAUGCUAUUAUGGUUACCUCGAGGAUAUAAUUGAGGGCCGGUCUUUGGUGACUUUGGUUCAUAUUCCGGGUUAUAGGUAAGGUAUAUGACUCUCAGUGCGGUAAGCGCCCAGAGACUUGUGAUUUGUUUUCUAUGCAGGACAAUUAAAGACAGCUUUUUAGCUUAAGGAAAGUAGAUGAUCGAACAUAACCCGGAGGAAUAUAAAGGAACAGCUUCAACGGAGUUAAGCAUUCCACACGUGCACGAUGGCACGACAAAUUAAGUGUUUGUCCUACUCUAUUACAAGACUCCCCGAGUCCAAAAGGUGAGGCAUUGUUUUUAAAGUGUAACCAUGAGCCGCCCAAGAAAUCAAGGUGCUUGUUGAGUUGAAGCUCCCGGCUCAUCCCUCUCCGCUCCUUCGGCUGUUUCCAUGACCUGGAAGGUUGAUGAUUUCCAGUCAAUGCCGCUCAAAGCUUCAAAUUGAGCCUCAUCAUCAAUUAACCCGGCCGGGUCAACUUCUGGAGCGAAGGUGUGCUUACGAGUCAGAGGGAUCAGGCUGAUUGCUUCAUAGCGUGGAGUGGGGAUCCUUUGAUUCUCCGCGUCAUAGCUCGGCUGAUACUUGGUAAGAUCUGUGUCAUUCCCAAUCAAGGUAGCCACCGGGCGCACGCUCUUCACACAGGCGGCGAAGUCUUUCUGGUCAAAGGGGGUACCAUCUUCCUUCAGGCUGGGGUAUCCAAGAGCGAUGUCGGCCGGGUCUAGCUCCGGGAGAAACGCCUUGGCCCGGCUCAGAGCAGCUAUAGCUCCGGCUCUUGCAGAAGCCCGUCUCAGCUCUUGGAAGCGCUGAGGAAGAACGGCAAGCCGCCUGAGUACGUCUACCAGGUGGGUGGGAACCUCAUUGGACAGAGCCACAAUGGCUAAAGCACGUUGUGACCCGGUGUAGAGUUGCUCCACCAAAGUGUAAACCGCCUUCAGCUUGGUCAGCAUGUUCUGAUUAAGGUUGGAGCUUCUGGGACCUGCAUAAUAACGUCAGGUGAGCCGGUGGCAAUGGUGGGACUUAUGAGACAUGAAGAAUGUAAAUUUGUUAAAAGCCUACAGAAUAACUUACCGAAGAUUGCGGAGACCAUCUGUGACACAUGGUGUUUUAAGCCGGAGAGUUCAGGCGGUUCUUUCAGUAAGAGCAGCCUCCGCUUGUUCGGCCCGUCUGAGCAAGGCAGUCUUCUCGUCGACCCAAGUUUUUCUUUCUAUUUCAAAUUUUUUCUUCAGUUUUUCUUGUGCAGCAACACUGAACUCAAACUUGGCAUUGGCCUUCCGGGUCUCAGUUUCCUGAGUCUUCAGGCGGUUCUUCAGCUCAGAGAUUUCCGAUUCAAAUUUCUUGCAGGCAGCCUGUACAAAUUCCGGGUUACAGUUUGAGUGGUUAUCAUGCAACAUUAAAGUCCCAAGCACUUUGCAAGCAAAGACACUUGGCACUUGGGGGCUAAUGUAUGCUGAACGAUUCUAUUUAUAAGUGCCGGUUCAUGAAGGUAAGCCGGAAGUUAAGUCUACAACAUAUUCUAUCAUAAGUAAUAGACUUGGGGGCUAGCAUGGUAAGAAUGACUAUGGAGUAAGCAAGAGAGUUGUACCUCAGAUUUUUGCUGUAUCUGCUUCACCAUGUCAAUCUCCAGGUCCCGGCUGUUGUGCACUUGACCAAUAUAACCAGAAACAAUGUCUCCAAUGCUCAAGUUAGCAUAGUCAGUGAUAUCCAGUCUGGCCUUGCGGCGCUCCAGCAGUUCUUCUUUAGCAGAGCAUCUGGCCAGCACAGUGGGUCUUCCCGGCUCAACAUAUUCGGUCCGGGUAAUCACCACAUCCGGGUCAUCGGCCGGUUGAGCUGAGCUGGGGAUCUCCGGGUUGUCAGAACUCUCCAUGGCUUGUUGUUCAGUUGGAGCGGUGGUUUCUGGAGCUGGUGCAGACGGCGGCUCAGAAGCAGAGGCGUUGGGUUCAGUCAAGACCGGUUCUUCGACCGGGUGAUUUUUCUUUGCCCUCUUGCUGAGCUUUGCUUGUGCACUGAAAGUCAAAAGGUUAGUGCAAAAACAUGAGUAAGAUAAGCACAAAAUAAGAUGAUCAUCAUUACCCGGGUGCAGUCUUGAAAGCCGGCAAGUUAGAUUGCAUGGAGUCAUCGGAGGAAGGUGAAGUUUCCUGAUAGUUUGAAUCAGAAGAAUUGAGUGGUUGGCGAGUGAUGCCCGCCAAAGGAUGAAAAGGAUAUAAGUUGGAGAUAACCUCGGUCCGGCGCUUCCUUGAUGCUUCGGGUAAGCCGGAGGAGAGGUCUGCAUCCUUGCUGGCCCGGGUUUGCCUCCGGCUCUCAUGAAUCUGUUGCUUCAAAAGAAAUUGAGGAUCUUGAUAAGCUAAAGGAUGGGAAAAUCUUACUUUCCGGGUUACUCUUCGGACUUUCAGCCUUGGCAAGGGGUCCGAGUCGGAGGAAAGUAUAGUUACCUCUUCAAUCACUGGGUUACUCGCUCCGGUAUCAUCCUGUUGAUAAUCAGUGUCAAUAAGGUGGUUAAAAAUAGACAAAAGAACCAAAGAAGAGCCUAAAGAAUCAAGGGUUACCUCUGACUCGGAGGUGUCAUCCAGCUGAAGCAGGUCUGAGGCGCUAGGCUUACUCCCCUUCUUGCGGGGAGCGGCUCUCCUGGCGGCUUUCUUAACCUUCCUGGCUUUUUUAGCAGCCUCAUGAUCAUAUUUGACCUUCCAGAACUUAUCAUUAGCCUGAAAAAUACAACAAAGGUUUCUAGAGGUUAAGAUGAAAAUUGUUAAAAUGGAAAGUAAGGUGCUCAGAUCAGUAGCUUACCGCCGGAGCCGGGUUAGCUUUGCAGAAGGGACUUAAGCCUGUCCUCCCGCAGUCUGCUAAGCUCUCGUUCAGAAGGGACUUAGUCAUGUCGUCAACGACGUCCUCAGGUAGGUCGUUGGGGCUGUGCCGCAGAGGAUCAUCCUUCCGGCCCGUGUAAUCACACAUUAAGCCGGGGCGGCGGCUCAAGGGAAUCACCCGCCAAGCAAUCCAGACCCGGACCAGAUCAACGCCGUUAAGGCCGUUUCCCAGAAGAGCUUUGAUCUUGUUGAUGGUGGGGAUAAGCGGUUGGCGCUCAGCUUGAGAUAACUUGUCUGGCAGGGGGUGAUUUGACUCCAGAUGCAGGGCGCGAAAGCCGGGCAGAGGGUUCUCAUCAGCCGGAGAAGUAUCCUGGCAGUAGAACCAUGUCUGGUUCCAGUCCUUUGGGUGGCUUGGCGGUUCAGCAUAAGGAAAAAGGCAAUCUCUCCGUCGUUGGAUUGAAAUUCCGCCAAGUUCCAAGCUAGGCCCGUUGGCACACUCGUUCUGGCGGUUCAGAUAAAACAGUUCCCUAAAGAGCAGUAGGCUGGGCUCUUCUCCAAGGUACACCUCGCAGAAUACUUGGAAGUUACAAAUAUUCGACACGGAAUUGGGUCCAAUGUCUUGAGGUCGCAGAUCGAAAAAGUUCAGAACAUCUCUGAAGAAUUUUGAGCAAGGAGGAGCAAAGCCCCGGCUCAUGUGAUCAGCAAAUAUAACAACCUCUCCGUCUCUUGGUUGAGGUCUUUCUUCGGACGGGUCAGGGGCACGAUAGGACAUGACCUCCUUCUUAGGCAGGUAACCCGUCUUCACGAAAUCAUCUAAGGUAUCAUCAGUAACGUUGGAUCUCAACCAGUUGCACGUAAUGGGUGCCUUGGGAGCCUUGGGCGGCAUUGUGAAAGACGAAAAGCCUAUGACAAAAGAAAAUGUCCGGUUCAAAUAUAAGCCGGAGGAAGAUUCCAGUUCAGUAUUUAAGAUGGCGGCUUAUGAAGGGGCCUAAUGAUAUAUGGCUAAUUGUGUUGGGUUAUCUAAGCUGCUGUGGAUAUCAUAAGUAAUUCAAGUUGUUUAAAACUCUAUCACGAAUGAGCCGGAAAUGUCACAGCGCAUGGCCUCUUUUAAGCCGGAGAUAUGAGCCGCCAUGGUUAACAGAUGCAGGUUUUUGUCUAAGUGUUGUACAAACAGGUUUCACAGGUUGCAGGGAUUAUUUUGGAUCAAACGAUCGUCCAGAAAGAAAAAAUUUCUAGACCUAGAAAGCUGAUACAGAGAAGUUCAUGAGCUCAGAACGAGGUCUUUCUGCGGACAAAAGGGAUCUACUAGCAUAAAAAUGAGUGCGAAACCACUACCGCAGGAGUUCUAUCCUACUUUCCGGAUCAAAAGAGGUCGCGGUGGAAGAACUGUGAAGAACUCGGGAUGAACUGCGAAGAACAUGGGAAGAACGACAGAACCCUAAUGCGAAUCUACUGUAGGGAGUGGCAAGAACUUACUGGCGCUGAUGAGAUGCGGAGGUCGCCGCCGUUUCUCUGGACCAGCUCAGGGUGAUGCAGCGGCCGAGGUUGAGGAGGACAAGGGGCGCGGCGGCGGCGGCGGAGCUCGAGCUCGGGAGUGUCAGAAGAGGAAGACGAUGGAGGAGAAGGGUGACGAAGGCUUAUGGGCCGGGCCUAUUUAUAAGGCACGAUUGAUAAAUGGGCGCGAGAAACGAGGAGGCCAAGACGCGAUUAUCUCGGCACAGAAAUGCCUCGAUUUUUGGGAUGGUUAUUAAAGAUAAGAUCCGUUGGGUAUGAUGGAAUAGAAAAAUGAAUUUAAUGGAAGAUGACGUCACGGCGGGUUACCAAGAAUCCAGAAGAUGACGUCACAGCGGGUUAUAAUCUUUGCACAAGCAGAAGCCGGAAGAUUUUCUUUCAAAGGGAUUGAAGAUUGACAUGAACCGGUUCAAAUCAAUCUAGGGCCUAAUGUUGAGGAUAUAACCAUUAGAGUCACCCGCCCAGGAGGGGCCGGGUUACGUUAUAAUGAUCUUCACGUGAAGCCCAGUACCAGGCUAGAGGAUGGCGGAUCAAUAGUGGGCUUAAGACCCGGAGGCGGCUUAAGGCCCGUAGUGAUAAACCGCCGUUAUGGCAAGACUUGUAAUGUAAGGCAAGAGUAGUUAAGAGUCCGAGCCGGAUACUGUUAUAAGCCGGCCGAGACUCUGAGAGCCGCGGGGGCGUCAACCUCUCUAUAUAAAGGGACGACCCGGCGGCGGUUCAGGACGAGAGACAACAUAUCGAGAGCCGGGCAUAGCGAUUAAGCUCCCUGGUCAUCGAAACCCUAAGUAAUACCAACUCAACUGGACGUAGGCUGUUACCUUCACCGUAAGGGGCCGAACCAGUAUAACCCUCGUGUUCCUUGUCCCGUUUAACCCCUUUAAGCUUCCUAGCUGCGAUGGCUCCACGACUAAGUCCUUGCACGAGGACAUCUGCCGUGACAAUUCCACGACAAGUGAGGAAGAAGUCACUCUCCUCCCCAUUGAUUUUUACCCCGACCGACCCUCCUAAUGUCACACUUCUAAUCCAAGUUAACCACCUAGUACCAAAACCUCUAAGAGCCAAUAGCUCGAGUAGGAAAUCCAGGUUAACCCUAUCGUAGGCCUUCUCAUAGUCUAUUUUGAACACCAAACCUUGUCUCCGUGAAGAAUGUACUGCAUGCACAAUCUUAUGUGCAGUCACCACACUCUCCAGUAUGUAUCUACCUCUCACAAAGGCAGACUGGCACUUUGUAAUCAGUCUACCAAUAAUGGAAGCUAAUCUGUUAGUCAAUACCUUUGUAAAAAAUUUAAACACACAGUUAAGUAGACUAAUUGGUCUGAAUUUGUUCAUAUCCUAGCUUCGUUCUCUUUUGGGAUUAAGGUAAUCAUAGCAAAAUUCAGUCUGACAAAUCCAGGUUCCCAUCAAACCAAAACUCAAACAUCCUAAUCAGGUCAACUUUCACUACUUCCCAAAACACCUGGAAAAACAUAAAAGGAAGGCCAUCUGGGCCAGGUGCCCCAUCCGCAUAGGACCCAAAAACAGCCUCUCUAAUCUCUUCCUCUGAGAACUGUUUUUCUAGUUUAGCAUUUUCCUCAGGGGAGAUCUUCUCCUCAUUACUGAAAAAAAUCUUGCCUCAGCCUAAUGUUAGGUCUAGGUUCCCAUCUAAAAAGAUUCUUAUAGUAAUCUACAGCUAUCCCUUUCAUCCCAUUCUGGUCAGUUACAAGGCCUUCAGCCCCAUCCAGCACAUGAAUAACAUGCUUUCUCCUCUGAUUAGCAACUGCUUGGAAAUAAGCAGUAUUUCUAUCCCCCUCAACAAUAUCUUUUCUCUCUGGAUCUCUGUCUAGCUUUGAUCUCCUCCACCUGCCACAUCUGGCUCAACUCAUGAAGAAUAUUACCCAGCCUCUCAUUAUCCUCAUCAGUCAGACCCCCAGACUCAGAUUUAAUAUCUAAGUCAUCAUAUUCCUCCAUCAACUCCUUCUUGUCUCUCCUAAGAGCAGCUUCUACAUUCCUGCUCCAACCUUUAGCCAAUCUCCUAAAGGCCCUAACUUUGGUUUGCCAGCAAUCAAUUGGGUUAGCGGAGUCACAUCUAGUGCCCCAAGCCUUAAUCACUAGGUCUUUAAAAUCAGGCCUAGUAAUCCACCACUUUUCAAAUUUAAAACUACCUUUUCUAUGAUGCUCAUCUACCCCUCAGUCCCAAACCACAGGGGUAUGGUCACUGCUCACCCUAGGCAACACUCUAGAACUAGCCAUAGGGAAGGCAGCAUCAAACUCUGUAGUGCAAAAAAUCCUAUCAACUUUAGACAUAAUCCUAUUCUCCUGGUUGUUGCACCAGGUAUAAUUUCUCCCAGACAUGUUGAUCUCCAACAAAUACCACAUAUCAACCCAGCUAUUAAACCUAUCUGACCAUCUAAAGUCUGUGUUACCAUUGUUCUUAUCCUCUGGAGUCCUAACUAAAUUAAAAUCUCCCCCUACAAUAGCAGGGCCUUCCCAAUUCAGAAAUAAGGAAUGAAGUUCAGAAAUAAAAUCCUGCUUAUCCUCAUCAUAAGCAGAGCCGUAAACAGUAGUAACUCUAGACACAAGUUCAUCACUUCUGUUUUUAACCACAACACUAACAGAAAACUUUUUAAUCUCCCAGGCAAGCACCUCAAACUGAUCAAUAUCAACUCCUACUAAAAUGCCACCCGCAGAGCCCACAGAUGGCAGUAAAUUCCAAUCAAAAUUCCUAUUACCCAUAACAGUAUUAAGAAAAUUCCUAGAGAAACUACUUUGUUUAGUCUCUUGAAACCCCACAAUAGCAGGAUUAAGAGGCCAAAUCAAAUCCUCAAUACAUUUCUUCCUACCAGGGGCCAACAGCCCCCUAGCAUUCCAGAAGAUGUAUUUCAUUCUACCCUAAUACUGGGGUGCUUGCCCCAUCUAUUCAAACUGCUAGGCAACCCAGCACUAUCAGAAACCUUCUCUACCUCACUUCCAACAGAAGCACAUCCUUUAUCUACCAGCUUUUCAUUAAUGACCACUCCAAUAGAAUUAGACAUGCCAUCUAGCUCAUCUGCUGGAAUUGUAUUAAAUGGGGGCUUGGAAGAUAUACCUUUCAUACUUUUUGGUAGCUCCAGAUUUUGCUUCAUCUUGAGCAACACCGCCCUGUCCACCAUUGGUUGUGAGAUAUCCACUCUUGAACUCUUCCUGGAAGCUUGGACAGGCCCAUAUGUCUUCUGCUUUUUGCCUCUCUUCCCUGUGUCUUUCCCAUCCACUUGACCUUUAUCAGUUACUCCGAAAUUGCUAAAAUCAGGCAUAAUAUCAUCAGGAAGAUUGUCAAUAACCUCAGCCCCUGUCUUCUCAGGAGCAUCAACCAGCACCUCUCAUGUAUCCUCAGCCGCAAACUCCUCCAUCUCCCCAUCUAGGUCCCUAAGCAACUGCAUUUCACAAAGACAAAAGUAGUAGUAUCUUUCCCCUGCCCAGCACCUGUCACUAUGUCAUUUCCAUCCAGGCCAAGAUCACAAUUCUGCAUCUCCUGUUGUUCUACAAAUUCAACCACAGACACAUCCCUCUUUCUAUGCUGACCACUACCCCCAGUAGCUGUCUUAGGAUCUUCCUGACUACCUUUCACAUUUCCUUUACUCUGAUUAGCUCCAUUACUCAGAUCCCCACCCCCAUCGGUCUGCAUGUUCUCCUCCCCAUUGCUGCUUUUGCUCCUAUCCUCAUCAAAAUCAAACUUCUCUUUCUCCUUCUCCCCCUCAUCCUUGGAAACCACUUCUACAACAAUUUGGACCUUAAAGAUUUUUCCAUCCACUUCAAACAGCCUUUCAGUGGGGAUUUUAGCUGGGUUCCUACACUGAAUUUUUGCUCUAACACACUCAAACAGACUCUGCAGCAUCCCCUGCCAGUCCAUCUCUAUUAGCGGACCAAAGGAAGAAACACACUGAUCAAUGACAGCCCACUCACACCAUUUAGGCAUCAGUCCUCUCACCUGCACCCAAACUUCUUCCAGUUUAUCAAUCUCCACUAGAUCCUCUUUCCAGGCCUCAACUUUCACUGUUGCAUCUGACUCUGUCAUCCCAAAGCAGGGGUAUCCAGCCACCUGAUCUACAGAGAUGUGAGGAGGAAACUUCACUAAAAAGGACCACUCAUCUAGGACUCUUAUCUGCCACGGCCAAUUUGUCUUGUAAAUGACAGAAAACUCUUUUGCCAGUUCGUCCUUGGUGAUUUAUCCUGAUUCCACAUACACCACACCACAAUUCUUCAAGAUCCCAAUCGAGUUUUGCCCCAUAUCUGAGGUCUCCAAAUGGUAAAACCCCAGCCCAGGGUCAGCACUACCCACAUACUUAGCCAUCUGGUGAGGUCGUUUCCUAACAGGGCAAUUCUCCACUUGGUGCGCACUUGCUUUGCAAAUGAAGCAUUUUUUUGGUCUCUCACACACAGCCCGCAGAUGCCCUGUAUCACCACAACUGUAACAAGUAACUUGCUGAUAAUUGGUGAAUUCCACACUCUGACCCCCUGUAAUCACCUCUUUUUCCACCAUAUCUACGCCAGUUGACUGCCCUACUGCCUUCUUGUUCUUCUCCUUUGCCUGAACUCCUCCUGCAGAUUUGUUUUGGCCCAAUCUCCCCUUCUGAUUCACACUCUGCUGCUGAUCCUGCGAAUUUCCCCCCUGUUGAGGUCCUCCCUGCUCCCACUGGUUCUGUUGGAACACAGGGAAAGGCGGGUAACCUCCCCCAAACAUCCAUGGAGGCGGCACCCUAGGGUAUCCGAAGAACGGCGGCGGGAAACUGAACUGAGGCCCUCACAUCUCCUGUGGGGGGUGCUGCGGCUGCAUUGGUGGUGGCCUGCCAGCACCACGCCCCCUCUCGCGACCUCUGUUGCUCUCCGCCAUCUCAGACAGCUUAGCUACAGCAAGGAAAUUCACCCUCUCAGCACCUAGCCACUCAGAUCUGCCACAACUUAACGAACUAGGAUUCCUGCCGAUCAAAUCUCUCUCCGCUGCUGGGUGGCAAUCUUCAAUCCCAAAAUCUCUCCUCUCCAGCAGCUCCUUCCUGAUCCAGAUCGCGAUCCCCUUUCCCUUAGGGUUAGCCGGUCGGUCUGGACGACGAUGCAGCUUUAAAGGCGAAGCUUCCUCACCUCCUUCCCAUAGCUGCCCGAAAAAACCACUAUCCACCUCACAAUCCCCACUGACAGCGGGUCCCAUCCGCCAGGUCCACCGGCCCCUCCUGACUUGGUCAACUAUCUGCUUCUCCCUCCUCAGAUUCAAAUUCGCACGGUUCUGAAGCCCAAAAUUCAGCAAUGGCGGAUAUCCAAUUCCCGGCGACCGGCUAUCAGGAUCCUCCAAAUCAGGCUCCACAAACCUGCAAACGCUCCGCUCCUCCCACCUCGGAAUUGCUCUGGUUUGGCUCUGAGAUCUCACAUUUAGCAAAGGCGGAACUCUAGAUUCUGGCAGCUGAGACACAGCAGCCCCCACUCUCGAGUCCACAAACCUCGCUGUCAUCUGAGGCUUCAAUCCCUCGCCGGCUUCGGGGAGAGGUACGGAAGAGGGUCUACCUGCGAAGGAGGCGGCGGAGUGCGAGUUGGGAAGAGCCCCAGAACACAUUCCCACCUCUCCUCGCGAUCUCUGACCCCCGAUUUGGCUUCCCCCCCUCGCCCAGUGGACGAAACCCACCGGCGGAGAGAGCGGGAACGGCGGCAUCCUCUCCCGCUCCUCCUCCGUCGCCUCGAAGUGGAUCCUCCGAGCGAGGUUCUUCAACUCCCAGUCCACCCGGGUCCUGCAGACCGAGACGUAGCGCGCCUCCCAGAACACCAGAUCUGGGUCAGCCUCCUCCGCGGCCCGCUCCCUCGCCUCCCUCCAUUCCCGCUCGCACAGCGACCACGACAGGGAGUCGUCGCGGAUCCGCGUCGCCCGCUCCCUCCACCGCUGCGCCCUGGUCGCCGUCAGCAUCUCCGGCGACGCCGACGAGAACNNNNNNNNNNNNNNNNNNNNNNNNNNNNNNNNNNNNNNNNNNNNNNNNNNNNNNNNNNNNNNNNNNNNNNNNNNNNNNNNNNNNNNNNNNNNNNNNNNNNNNNNNNNNNNNNNNNNNNNNNNNNNNNNNNNNNNNNNNNNNNNNNNNNNNNNNNNNNNNNNNNNNNNNNNNNNNNNNNNNNNNNNNNNNNNNNNNNNNNNNNNNNNNNNNNNNNNNNNNNNNNNNNNNNNNNNNNNNNNNNNNNNNNNNNNNNNNNNNNNNNNNNNNNNNNNNNNNNNNNNNNNNNNNNNNNNNNNNNNNNNNNNNNNNNNNNNNNNNNNNNNNNNNNNNNNNNNNNNNNNNNNNNNNNNNNNNNNNNNNNNNNNNNNNNGCGUGGGUGGGGUUGGUGGGCAUGGCGGCAAGGGCAGCGGCGUAGGUCGGGGGUCGGGUCGCGAGAGCUGUCAUGGGAAACAGUUUGUCAAGCAUGAACUCAACGAGUGGGUGGGUAUCGUCGGCACAGGGAUCACUCGUUGGGAUCAAACCCAGAACUUGUUGUCAACCAGUAUUUCAACUUGUUGCCAUAGUAAACAGUGCAAUCCACGGACUCAGGCAUGCCACCUGCCAUACAACUCCAUAUUUGACAUUAAACACAUUGAACAAAUAGUCACUCCUAACAAUGGUAACCAACAGGGGUGCUCCCCUCUGGACACAGGCGAGGAAAGAAGACCUCACAGCACGUAUUCUGCCAAUGCCUCCCAGCCUCCACGACACUCCCCGCGCUUGACCAGCAAAGGCCUCCCUCCCCGCACUUGACCCAAUCUAAAUCGGUAACAGCCGGCCAAAUCGAUACCCUGGGAGCUUAGUGAAUUUAGAGAUUCAUCUGCUGUUGAGUAUACAACAAUUACCUCGUGAUAUGGAUGAACAAGACAAUCACAUCCCUGGAUCUGUAGAAAGGGCUUCAUCUAGGCAAUGAUCAAGUUCAGACUCCAUUUGUUUGCAAGAGCAGCGCGAGAUAAAAACGCCAAAAUUGUACCAAAAUACUCACUGGUACUCUUCCAGCCGUCCAUCUCACACGCACAGACACAUUGCUCACAUCGAUAAUAACAAGACUGACAACGGAAUCCUGUGUAAACUCGCCAAUCAAUCAAUAAAAUAGAGUCAAUUAAAACACAAGGAAAAUGACAAGUAGCCAAGAGCUAUAGGAACCUGAUGGUGACCACAACAUAGUAGUACAAGUUCCCACAUAAGAGGUUCCGAGCAACUAUCAAAGAAAUGCCUUUAUUAUUAUUCCACGGUUUGUCAACUUCGGAAGCUACAAGAGCAGCAGGUGUAAUGUGUCAAACAAAACAAGGCCCCGGAGCAGGGAGCGAGUUCGGGGCUUCACGCCCAUAUGCAAUCUAGAAUCAUAAGAAAUUGACCGACAACUGAGAAAUAUAGCUGCUCCAGGGCAUACUCCUUCCUACAUGAUGUAAACACUCUAGGCUGCAAAACUUAAGACAGGGACAAUCAUUUUGCCUUUAUUAUUCUCUUCGUACGCAGUUAUCGUUCUCCUUUACC
This 25070-nucleotide long non-coding RNA is filed under the name Triticum aestivum (bread wheat). Its description in RNAcentral is "long non-coding RNA (TAES_LNC019681)". The record is from RNAcentral. Lineage: Eukaryota; Viridiplantae; Streptophyta; Magnoliopsida; Poales; Poaceae.